GGCGCCAUAGCUCAGUUGGUCAGAGCGGGGGACUCAUAAGCCCUAGGUCGUUGGUUCAAAUCCAACUGGCGCCACUA
This 77-nucleotide transfer RNA is filed under the name Chloroflexota bacterium. RNAcentral describes it as "Chloroflexi bacterium (hydrothermal vent metagenome) tRNA-Met". It matches the Rfam family "tRNA". From Rfam's summary of the family: Transfer RNA (tRNA) molecules are approximately 80 nucleotides in length. Their secondary structure includes four short double-helical elements and three loops (D, anti-codon, and T loops). The record is from RNAcentral. Lineage: Bacteria; Bacillati; Chloroflexota.